GGAUAAAUAAUAUUUGUUUUAUUAGUGGGAAAAUCACAAAAAAGGUCCUAAUAACAUAGUGUAAUUAUAAUUUAGACUCUUCAACCAUAACAACACAUCUUAGCAGAUAUGAAAAUAACUUCAUACAACAUAUUAUAAUCCACUACAAUAUAUUUUCUCAAGCGUAUCCUAUUUCAUUACAAGGUUUCUGACUUGGGUUGAAACUCCCAGCAUUAGGCUGAGAGCUCUCUAAACUCCUCUUUGAUUGCAGGUAUCCACUCGUCUUGCAGGUACUCGUCUUGAUUUUGGCUGGGUUUCAGAACUCAUUUAUUAUCAGGUCCAAUUCCAAAGCUCAAGAGGCUUGAACUUUCAUUUGCUUAAAAUCAGUGACAUGUGACAAACAAGGUUAGCUUCAGGGGUUUGAGGAGCUAAACUUGAAAAAACGCAAAGUGGGAAAUUAUGCAGCCAAAAUAAACAAGCUAGAACCGCUUAAAUGACAAUGAACUAGCAGAGUCAAAUCCACAGCUUGACAAACUUAUCAUGACUGGCAGAAGCAACCAACCGAGUCACAGUUGAUACAGCUAAUGAAGCAAUUAAUCCUUCAUGAGCUGGAACGGUCAUAGACUUGUUCUCGGCCGUGUUCCAAAGCUCCAAAGACUGAAUAAAUGCCCAUGGUAGUGUAUCAGAAACAAAAACCAUACCACCCACAUAAUCAACAAAAAUUACAGCAAACAUUUUCAAGGUUCAAAAGUUCAUGUGAACCCAAAAUCUUAAACUAUAACAGUUAUUGCAAGGUCGAUCAACAAAUGAAGGAUUCCUACUUGCCUGGUCACAGCCAAUGAUUAGCAAUGAAGAGUUUGCAGGAUGAAAAACACAAGAGUGGAAUUUGCAGCCAUUAGAAAUCAACUCUUGAAUGCAUUCUCCCUCACCCCCUGAUCCAAGUUUCCAGAGUCUGAUAGCAUCCUCACUGACAGAUGCUAUAUACUCGCCUGAAGGAUCCCAGCACAGAAACUGAAUUGGUUUAACAUGUCCCUACAGUUAGCAGUUGAUAUCCACUAGAAUGUCAGCGAUACUGCAGUAAGCAAAGGCUGCUCAUGUUUGCUUUGCUUUGAGCUUCAGUAAACUAAGCACACACACAGACUCACAUAUUCAUCAGCUCAUCAAGGUUAUUAUCAGUGUUUAUAAGAAGACUAUAUGAAUGCAAAUCCACACUGUUGCUUUUUAUCUCCUGUUAAUUUAUUACAAGUUCACAUUCCCAUACCAACAUAAAUUAGCAACUAAAAAAAAAAAGAAAGUAUACUAAUAUGUCACCACAAAAUACCUGCCACGACACAAAUACACAUACAAUGCAGAUUUUCUUUGGAAAAAAGGACAUGCAUAAGUAAAUUCUAACAGCAUUCUUAACCAUGAUGAUUUAUGAAUCAUCACUUUUUAAGGGCUCAAGAAGGAUAGAGCAUCACUGCUCCACAUGAAUCCGAUAAGGUAUGACAUACCAAAAGCUGGUGUCAUAUCCCAGGAUUAACAUGGAUAAGAUAAAACUUUAAACUAACCUGUAAUAAAUGCCCACACGCUUGUGUCUCAACAUCUAGUAUAGACACAGCAUAAUCCUCAGCUGCAGCAAGAUACCUCCCUAGACGGGGUUGAAAUCUUAUCUGGGCUGAACCUCCCUAAUAAAAAAAAUAAAUAAAUAGCAUUGGGCAACUGAGACAUAAAACCGAAUGGCACUCCCUUGAAAAUGGAAGCAAAGUCAAGAACUAAGUAAAGAAAUAGAGAAAUGCCUCCAUUCAGUCCACAAGAUUCUACCUUGAACACUCCUGCACAGUUGCUGUCAGUAAUACUCCAGUACCGUAUCUCACCAUUCCCAUCACAAGAGCAGAUAAGGUCAUUUCUGUUUGGAUGGAAGUCUACUGACACAGCACAAGUAGAAUGUCCCCUAAAAAUAUGUAACGAGUCUCGAGGCUGCAUAACCAUUAUAAAGCAACAACAAUGUAAAUUGAUGAAGCAAUACCCAAAGGAUACAAAAAGUCAUAUUUUCUACUGAGAAGUAUCUUAUGACCAUUUCACAGGGAAAAAAUAUGACCAAGCUUGCUAAAGAUCUACCAGACACAUAGCAACAAAAUUCAGAUCUUAUCAAACAAGGAAAAAACUAAUAUUUUACACAUUUUAUUAACAACAAAAAUAUAAUGAGUAAAAGAGGCAAGAUAUCACUUCAGACUAAUAAUUUAUGCCUGUUUAAGGACAGAACAUGAUUCUUGGUCUAAACCUUAUGCUCGAUAGUCUCUAAUAUGCUCCCUUGCAAGCUAUGGACAUACUGUGCAUUUAAAUCACUCUAAUAUACCCGCAACUAAAGCUGACCCAAAUUUUCUGAACUUCAAAGAGAAUUACAUAUUAAUUCUCAACUUGGCAGCAAAAGCAAUUAACCUGUUAUUUCCACAUUAAUUUUCACAACAAAUAAAGAGUAUAGUCUCUUAUGUACAAAGGCCAAGAAACCACUUUAAGUUAUCUAAGAUUAGAUUAUAACUAUCAACACAUUGUGAAUGGCAAAUGGUCACUUGCUGCUGUCCAUAUGAUCAAGUUUUACCAUUGCGAUCAUCCCACCUGUUCUAAAGCGAAACAAGGAGAAAUUCCGCAGCCAUUUUAAUUUUUAAAACCCUCUACACCCAAAGCCACUGUAAUGAAAGACAAAAAGCAAAAUAUAAGCUUAAUUCAAUUCCAUCCACAACCCAUAAAAAUCCUAAAUAGAAAACCGUAACAGCAAUAUUACAUGUAUAAAAACAUGCCAAUGCAACCUUUAUAGUUAAUAACAUCCACAAGUAUAACAGGAUCAAAUUUCAAUUAUAAAGUCAAAUCUUCUUGAAAUUACUAACAUAUAUGCGUACACAAAUGAUAUGCACAAGUACCUUGUUAGUGCACAUGCAGUUGCACAAGAAUUUAUGGAUAGAGCUAUCCAGAAAAUAUAUCAUUUCUAAAGGGAAAAAGACAAAGGGGCUGCAAUAAUUGAGGCAAAGAAAUAGGAUGGAGAAAACAGAGAUUAUGUUAACUAACAUUGCCAGCAUCCCAGACCCUGAUAGUUUUGUCAAAUGAAGACGUUGCAAGAUAUGGCAUGCUAGGACUGAAACAGACGUCUGUAAUCAAAGAUGUAUGCCCUUCAAAGGUAGAUUUUGGCUUUAACCCAUCCGCAUACCACAAUACAGCCUUUUUGUCAUGGCCAGCAGUAGCAAGCCAU
RNAcentral lists this unclassified non-coding RNA (3205 nucleotides) under Hevea brasiliensis (rubber tree). The record is from RNAcentral. Lineage: Eukaryota; Viridiplantae; Streptophyta; Magnoliopsida; Malpighiales; Euphorbiaceae.